UAGUCUUAGGGCUAUGGAUAUGAUUAGGUUUAGGGUUAGGGCUAAAUUAGGGCUAGGAUUAGAGCUAGGGUUAGUAUUAGGGGUAGGUCUUGGUUUAGGGCCAAGUUUAGGAUUAGGGUUAGGGUAUGGUAUGAUGUUAUAGCUAGGUUUUGGCCUAGGGUAAAGGGUAAAUUGAUGGUUAGGGCUAAUGUUAGAGUUAGAGUUAUGAUUAAACCUAGGUUUAGGGCCAGGAUUAGGGCUAUGGGUUUUGUUAGUGAUAGGGAUAGCAUUAAAUCUAGCUAUAGGGUUAUGGUUAGGGAUACUUUUAGGGUUAGGUUUAUGGCUAUGUAUAGUGAAUGGUUUAGGUUGAGUGUUAGGGUCUGUUUUAGAUCAAGAGUAUUUUUAGAGUUUGGGUCAGGGUCAGGGUUUGUUUAGGUUGAGGUUUAGGUUUAGGGCUCAAAUUAGCUUUAGGUUUAGAUUUAGGGCUAGGGUAAUGGAUAUGGUUAGCUAUAGGGUUCAGGUUUGGUUUAAGGUAAUAAAUAGGUUUAGGGUUAUGGAUAGGGUUAAGGUUAUCCUAGGGUUAGCAUUACAGAUAGAGUUAGGGUAAGCUAAUGAAUAGUAUUAGAGCUAGAUUUAGGCUAUGGUUAUGGAUAGGAUUAAGGACAGGUUUAGGGUUAGGUUUAGGUUAAAGCUAGGGUUAGGUUCGGAUUAGGGUUAAAUUUUAGAUUAGCUAGGGCUAGGGUUAAGGCUAUGGCUAAUGUAAGAACUAGGGUUAUGAUUAGGGCUAGUUUUAUGAUUAG
This 779-nucleotide long non-coding RNA is filed under the name Marmota monax (woodchuck). Lineage: Eukaryota; Metazoa; Chordata; Mammalia; Rodentia; Sciuridae. The record is from RNAcentral.